GGUCCAGGCAUCGAAGCCGCGCCCCCACAAUGUGGCUGAGUGACAACAUAUACGAGCCCAUCAACGUGCCGGUGCCAGUGAGCAAGCCCCGCCAAGUGUUCUGAUUGACAGCGACGCCCCGCCCACCCGUGCACUGUGAGGCUGAGCGGCAGCGCUGCAAUGUAUCUGGACACGGGGUAUGGCGGUGCUGCUGCUGCUGCUGCUGCUGCCGCCGCUGCCGGGGACUCAGCGACAGUCUCACAGCAGCACAGAUCCGGUGACAUUCACGGAUGAGCAGUUGAAAAAGAAAAGGUCAAGCAUGUGCAGUUACAACGGAGACUCUGGACAUGAACAUCAACAUCUUAAUUUCCUAUUGAUACACCAUGUCUCUACAAUCAUUUCAAGAAGAUAAAUUGAUUAAAGUAAUUUGUCGACUAGUGACCAAACCCUUAGCUUGACUUUGCAGUUUGGUUCAGUCUUUGUGAUUGGAUGCAACUUACCACGUGACCUGCAUACUUGGAGUGUACUUAUUUAGUUUUGCUGUAUAUUAUGGACAGGUUGAAGAUAAAGAACUUGGGGUUACCAGAAAACCGAUGUAAAUACAGACACACAUGAUAUGCACUUGCUAUACUGCAUGUCUGUACUCUGAUUUGUGCACAUGUGCUGUAGUCCAUCAAUUUUGCUGCUGCUGCCCAGUCCCAAGGAGGAGCCACUGGAAAAUAAAAGUUAUCAAGAGGCAGAUAAGGCAGCCCACCACCUGCUCUGCCUGGAAUAGAGACUGCAGAGCUAGACUUGAAGACUGCGGAGUACAGACAGGAUCUGUGUGAAAAUCUGAGGUAGUUUUAGGACCAAUUUCAGCAGAAAUCUAGAAAAUUCUGAAGGGUUCACAAACUUUCAAGCACUGCUAAUGUGCCAGGAGGAGGAGGUGUACAAGGAGCACCAAUAGGAGAUCCCAAAGAUGCUACAUAGACCCAAAUAUUUUGGGGGAAUGAUAAAUCUGAAAGCAUUACCUGAUGUUGCGGUGAUCCAGAUAUUAAGGCUAAACAAAUAAAAUUUAUUCAAAUUGCAUGAACAA
This is a long non-coding RNA of Pseudophryne corroboree (corroboree frog), 1054 nucleotides long. RefSeq lists it as uncharacterized. The transcript is spliced from 5 exons. The record is from RefSeq and is a predicted model, not a curated record. Lineage: Eukaryota; Metazoa; Chordata; Amphibia; Anura; Myobatrachidae.